Molecule: ribosomal RNA, 1954 nt
Filed under: human gut metagenome
Description: bacterial LSU rRNA
Rfam family: Bacterial large subunit ribosomal RNA
Source: RNAcentral
UUAAGUAAGGAAGGGCGUACGGCGAAUGCCUGGCCACUCGAAACUGAAGAAGGACGCGCCAAACUGCGAAAAGCUCCGUGAAGCUGUAAGGAAGCGAAGAAGCGGAGGUGUCCGAAUGGGGGAACCCGGCAGCAGACAUGAGCUGUCAUCUGCAGGUGAAUACAUGGCCUGCAAGAGAGGUACCCGGCGAACUGAAACAUCUAAGUAGCCGGAGGAAAAGAAAACAACAGUGAUUCCCUGAGUAGCGGCGAGCGAAAGGGGAGAAGCCCAAACCGGUUGAAGGACCGGGGUUGAAGGACCAUGAGAUGGCAAGAACGAGGAUAGGAGAACGGGAUCGAAAGCCCGGCCGAAGAAGGUGAAAGCCCUGUAACCGAAAUCCGAGCGAAGCCUAAUGGGAUCCUGAGUACGGCGAGACACGAGAAAUCUUGUCGGAAGCAGGCGGGACCAUCCGCCAAGGCUAAAUAUAAACGAGUGAGCGAUAGUGAACCAGUACCGUGAGGGAAAGGUGAAAAGAACCGCGGGAGCGGAGUGAAAGAGAACCUGAAACCGUAUGCCUACAAGAAGUCAGAGCCCGUUAAGGGGUGAUGGCGUGCCUUUUGUAGAAUGAACCGGCGAGUUGCGACAGACUGCGAGGUUAAGGAGGAAAGACCGGAGCCGAAGCGAAAGCGAGUCUUAAGAGGGCGAAAGUAGGAUGUUGCAGACCCGAAACCGGGUGAUCUAGCCAUGAGCAGGUUGAAGUUGAGGUGAAACUCAAUGGAGGACCGAACCGACUACCGUUGAAAAGUUAGCGGAUGACUUGUGGCUAGGGGAGAAAUUCCAAUCGAACCCGGAGAUAGCUGGUUCUCCCCGAAAUAGCUUUAGGGCUAGCGUUGGAAAGAACCUUAGUGAAGGUAGAGCACUGAAUGUGUGAUGGCCCCAUCCCGGGGUACUGAAUACAAUCAAACUGCGAAUGUCAUUAAGGAUGUCCGGCAGUCAGACUGUGAGUGAUAAGGUCCAUGGUCAAGAGGGAAACAGCCCAGACCGCCAGUUAAGGUCCCAAAAUACAGGCUAAGUGGAAAAGGAUGUGGGGAUGCCCAGACAACUAGGAGGUUGGCUCAGAAGCAGCCAUCCUUUAAAGAGUGCGUAACAGCUCACUAGUCGAGUGACCCUGCGCCGAAAAUGUACCGGGGCUAAGCCUGAUACCGAAACUGCGGAUUGUAGGAAACUAUAGUGGUAGGGGAGCGUUGUAUACGAGCAGAAGCCGUACCGUGAGGAGCGGUGGAUUGUAUAGAAGUGAGAAUGCCGGUGUGAGUAGCGAGAUGUAGGUGAGAAUCCUACACACCGAAAGCCCAAGGAUUCCAGGGGAAGGUUCGUCCGCCCUGGGUAAGUCGGGACCUAACGCGAGGCCGAAAGGCGUAGUGGAUGGAAAGCAGGCGAAAGAUUCCUGCACCCGUAUAUGGAGCGAAGGAGUGACGGAGACGGAUAGUGUGACCCUCUUAAUGGAUUGAGGGCGAAGCGAAGCGGCUGGUUACCAGGCAAAUCCGGUAACCUCAAGGCUAGGGCGUGACAGGCAAGCGAAAUCCAAGGAAAGUAGCGAAGCACAUGAUGACGGCUUCCAGGAAAAGCUUCUGGCAAUGCAUAUGCGGCCCGUACCAAAACCGACACAGGUGGGCAGGGAGAGAAUCCCGAGGUGAGCGAGAGAACUGUUGCCAAGGAACUCGGCAAAAUGACUCCGUAAGUUAGCGAGAAGGAGUGCUUAAGCAAUUAAGCCGCAGUGAAGAGGCCCAAGCGACUGUUUAACUAAAACACAGCUCUCUGCGAAGUCGCAAGACGAAGUAUAGGGGGUGACACCUGCCCGGUGCUGGAAGGUUAAGAGGAUCUGUUAAGAGCGAUCUGAAGCAGUGAUCCGAAGCCCCAGUGAACGGCGGCCGUAACUAUAACGGUCCUAAGGUAGCGAAAUUCCUUGUCAGGUAAG